RNAcentral lists this long non-coding RNA (1216 nucleotides) under Homo sapiens (human). RNAcentral describes it as "non-protein coding lnc-PCED1B-11:2". Lineage: Eukaryota; Metazoa; Chordata; Mammalia; Primates; Hominidae. The record is from RNAcentral.
GAUAUACCUAAUGCUAAAUGACGAGUUAGUGGGUGCAGCGCACCAACAUGGCACAUGUAUACAUAUGUAACAAACCUGCACAAUGUGCACAUGUACCCUAAAACUUAAAGUAUAAUAAUAAUAAAAAAAGGAAAUUGUCUACUAUAUUUUCCUUCCCCCAUUUUAGGCAAUUGGCAUCCUCCAGCUCUUGGCUCCUUUGCUUCCCUCUGUAUCUCCCAUCAAAGUUUGCUUUAAAGAAAGAUUUUGUAGGAAUGCUUUACUUGAAUUGUGGAUUUAAAACAAGACAUGUCACUCCUAACAGACAUUUACAUUUGAUAUCUCUCUCUGAUCAUGGAAAUAAAUGCUCUAUCGCUCUUUAAGGCAAGUUCAGGCGUCAGCAAGUGGGGGAAGAGCUUCUUGGAGUCUUGCUGUUAAGUCUCAUCUCAUCAUUUUCUAAGUGCUUCACCUCCUCCACCUUCUUAAAAGCUGGCUGGAGAUAAAAGGGUAAUGUCACCCUGGAAGGACUGAGCUCUUAAUUCACAGAUGUUGCUCCAGAGCUUGGGUCUCAGCUUCUGAUGACUUGUUCAUUGUUACCUGGAACAGAACUGUCCUGUAACCACAUUCCCAUGGCUUUAUGAUCCACAAUUAGGAGAUUGACUAUGUCAGAUACCAAAUAGAAGGAGAGAGACAAUAAGAAUUCAUUUAGUAAUCUAUCCAAAUAUAUUUGUUGAGAUCCAUGUAGCUGAGAGCUAUGCAAAGUACUGGGUGUACCAGUAGAAAACAAGAUAGGCAGCAUCUGUCCUCACAGAGCUUAUGGUCUGGUGGGCUAUACAGACAAGGAGAAAAUAUGGGUAAUACAUGUUAGGUAUAAAUAAAAAGAAAUUAUGAGGUGCUAUGGGAAGACUAUGCGGAGUCUAAUUAGUGGUAUGCUUGGUCUAAUUACUGGCUCUACCAAAAAAAAAAUUAAAAAAGGAAAAAAAAAGAAAAAAGCUCCUGAUUUAUAGUGUUUGUCAAUUUCCAUGGUGUAAAGAUUCCCACCAAUUUCAAGCAGCAACAUGACAUCACUGAAUGGAGCUACAAAAAAAUGAACAGUACUUUUUUCUUAUCGACAGGGGCUGUAUUCCAAGACCCCCAAUGGAUGCCUGAAACCAUGGCUAGUACUAAACCCCAUGAACACUAUGUUUUUUUCUAUACAUACCUAUGGUAAAAUUUAAUUUAUAAAUUAGGCAUAGUAAGU